Molecule: long non-coding RNA, 298 nt
Organism: Coregonus clupeaformis (lake whitefish)
Lineage: Eukaryota; Metazoa; Chordata; Actinopteri; Salmoniformes; Salmonidae
Exons: 3
Source: RefSeq, a predicted model, not a curated record
UCACAUGUUUUGUUUUUGUCGACUGCCCACCAAGCAGCAGGAAGAUGCACUUUGAGCCCUGCACAGACCAAAAAAGCAUUUUACAAAAUUUCUUAUUUUAUUCACACUGUAGUUGUCUUUGAGUGAAUACAACAUGGAAAAAGAAAACCUAUCCGUGGUGUUGCAUUCCCAGGGCGACCUCAGACUGGAACAACGACCCAUCCCUGAACCAGGUCCAAAUGAGGUGUUGCUUCAGAUGCAUUCAGUUGGGAUCUGUGGGUCAGAUGUGCACUACUCGGCUAAAUGGACGCAUAGGUGA